Molecule: ribosomal RNA, 465 nt
Filed under: uncultured bacterium
Lineage: Bacteria
Description: partial 16S ribosomal RNA
Rfam family: Bacterial small subunit ribosomal RNA
Source: RNAcentral
CCUACGGGAGGCAGCAGUGGGGAAUAUUGCGCAAUGGGCGAAAGCCUGACGCAGCGACGCCGCGUGAGGGAUGAAGGUCUUCGGAUCGUAAACCUCUGUCAGCAGGGAAGAACGGUCACUGUGCUAAUCAGCAGUGAAUUGACGGUACCUGCAAAGGACGCACCGGCUAACUCCGUGCCAGCAGCUGCGGUAAUACGGAGGGUGCGAGCGUUAAUCGGAAUUACUGGGCGUAAAGCGCUCGUAGGCGGUAUGUCAAGUCAAGGGUGAAAUCCCCGCGCUCAACGUGGGAACUGCCUUUGAAACUGGCAGACUGGAGUGUGUGAGAGGAAAGUGGAAUUCGAGGUGUAGGGGUGAAAUCCGUAGAUAUCUGGAGGAACAUCGGUGGCGAAGGCGACUAUCUGGCACAUAACUGACGCUGAGGAGCGAAAGCGUGGGUAGCAAACAGGAUUAAAUACCCUUGUAGUC